AGGCCGGUGGUGUAGUGGUAUAAACCUUCAACUCCCAACCGAAACGACAGGGGUUCGAAUCCCGCCUGGUCAA
Cordylochernes scorpioides is the source of this 73-nucleotide non-coding RNA. The record is from the annotation of a GenBank genome assembly. Lineage: Eukaryota; Metazoa; Arthropoda; Arachnida; Pseudoscorpiones; Chernetidae.